Molecule: transfer RNA, 85 nt
Filed under: Chloroflexi bacterium 13_1_40CM_2_68_14
Lineage: Bacteria; Bacillati; Chloroflexota
Also listed under: 4 other names
Description: tRNA-Leu
Rfam family: tRNA
About the family: Transfer RNA (tRNA) molecules are approximately 80 nucleotides in length.
Source: RNAcentral
GCCCAGGUGGUGGAACUGGUAGACACACCGUCUUGAGGGGGCGGCGCCGUAAGGCGUGCGAGUUCGAAUCUCGCCCUGGGCACCA